GACGAACGCUGGCGGCGCGCCUAACACAUGCAAGUCGAACGAGCGAGAGAGAGCUUGCUUUCUCGAGCGAGUGGCGAACGGGUGAGUAACGCGUGAGGAACCUGCCUCAAAGAGGGGGACAACAGUUGGAAACGACUGCUAAUACCGCAUAAGCCCACGACCCGGCAUCGGGUUGAGGGAAAAGGAGCAAUCCGCUUUGAGAUGGCCUCGCGUCCGAUUAGCUGGUUGGUGAGGUAACGGCCCACCAAGGCAACGAUCGGUAGCCGGACUGAGAGGUUGAACGGCCACAUUGGGACUGAGACACGGCCCAGACUCCUACGGGAGGCAGCAGUGGGGAAUAUUGCACAAUGGGGGAAACCCUGAUGCAGCGACGCCGCGUGGAGGAAGAAGGUCUUCGGAUUGUAAACUCCUGUUGUUGAGGAAGAUAAUGACGGUACUCAACAAGGAAGUGACGGCUAACUACGUGCCAGCAGCCGCGGUAAAACGUAGGUCACAAGCGUUGUCCGGAAUUACUGGGUGUAAAGGGAGCGCAGGCGGGAAAGCAAGUUGGAAGUGAAAUCCAUGGGCUCAACCCAUGAACUGCUUUCAAAACUGUUUUUCUUGAGUAGUGCAGAGGUAGGCGGAAUUCCCGGUGUAGCGGUGGAAUGCGUAGAUAUCGGGAGGAACACCAGUGGCGAAGGCGGCCUACUGGGCACCAACUGACGCUGAGGCUCGAAAGUGUGGGUAGCAAACAGG
RNAcentral lists this ribosomal RNA (735 nucleotides) under uncultured bacterium. RNAcentral's name for it is "bacterial SSU rRNA". It matches the Rfam family "Bacterial small subunit ribosomal RNA", at positions 28 to 776 of the family's 1533-position model. The record is from RNAcentral.